Molecule: ribosomal RNA, 434 nt
Filed under: uncultured Lachnospiraceae bacterium
Lineage: Bacteria; Bacillati; Bacillota; Clostridia; Lachnospirales; Lachnospiraceae
Description: partial 16S ribosomal RNA
Rfam family: Bacterial small subunit ribosomal RNA
Source: RNAcentral
ACGGAAGGCAGCAGUGGGGAAUAUUGCACAAUGGGGGAAACCCUGAUACAGCGACGCCGCGUGAGUGAAGAAGUAUUUCGGUAUGUAAAGCUCUAUCAGCAGGAAAGAAAAUGACGGUACCUGACUAAGAAGCCCCGGCUAACUACGUGCCAGCAGCCGCGGUAAUACGUAGGGGGCAAGCGUUAUCCGGAUUUACUGGGUGUAAAGGGAGCGUAGACGGCUUUGCAAGUCUGAAGUGAAAGCCCGGGGCUCAACCCCGGAACUGCUUUGGAAACUGUAGAGCUAGAGUGCAGGAGAGGUAAGUGGAAUUCCUAGUGUAGCGGUGAAAUGCGUAGAUAUUAGGAGGAACACCAGUGGCGAAGGCGGCUUACUGGACUGUAACUGACGUUGAGGCUCGAAGGCGUGGGGAGCAAACAGGAUUAGAUACCCUGGUA